This 261-nucleotide small nuclear RNA is filed under the name Heterocephalus glaber (naked mole-rat). RNAcentral's name for it is "7SK RNA". It matches the Rfam family "7SK RNA". Rfam says of the family: 7SK was discovered as an abundant small nuclear RNA in the mid-70s but a possible function has only recently been suggested. Lineage: Eukaryota; Metazoa; Chordata; Mammalia; Rodentia; Bathyergidae. The record is from Rfam by way of RNAcentral.
GGAUGUGAGGGCGAUUUGGCUAUUACAUCUGUCACCCCAUUGAUUGCCAGGGUUGAUUUGAGUGAUCUGGCUGGCCACCACUCCAUGUGCAUCCCUCCCAAGCCUGCAUGCUUGGUCGAAGAGUACAACCAUCCCCGAUAGAGGAAGGUCAUUUCCUUGGUAAAAGGUAUGCAAGUAUCUGAGCUCCUCUGCUAGAAACUCCAAGUUCUUGGGAGGGUGUUAUUUCAUUUCCAUGUGUUUAUGAAGUUUUUAUGGUUUCUU